UCCGUUUGAUCCCGGCAGAGGCCACUGCUAUCGGAGUUCGAUUAAGCCAUGCGAGUCGAGAGGUGUAAGACCUCGGCAUACUGCUCAGUAACACGUGGACAACCUACCCUGAAGAGGGGGAUAACCCCGGGAAACUGGGGAUAAUACCCCAUAGACUAUGGAUGCUGGAAUGCUUUGUAGUUGAAAGGUCCGCCGCUUCAGGAUGGGUCUGCGGCCGAUUAGGUUGUUGUUGGGGUAACGGCCCAACAAGCCUGUAAUCGGUACGGGUUGUGGGAGCAAGAGCCCGGAGAUGGAUUCUGAGACACGAAUCCAGGCCCUACGGGGCGCAGCAGGCGCGAAAACUUUACAAUGCGAGCAAUCGUGAUAAGGGAACUCCGAGUGCCUGUAAAAUCAGGCUGUCCGCCAGUGUAAAUAACUGGUGAAGAAAGGGCCGGGCAAGACCGGUACCAGCCGCCGCGGUAAUACCGGCGGCUCGAGUGGUGGCCACUAUUACUGAGCUUAAAGCGUUCGUAGCUGGUCUGUUAAGUCUCUGGGGAAAUCUUCCGGCUUAACCGGAAGGCGUCUCAGGGAUACUGGCAGACUAGGGACCGGAAGAGGUGAGAGGUACUCCAGGGGUAGGAGUGAAAUCCUGUAAUCCUUGGGGGACCACCUGUGGCGAAGGCGUCUCACCAGGACGGCUCCGACAGUGAGGAACGAAAGCUGGGGGAGCAAACCGGAUUAGAUACCCGGGUAGUCCCAGCUGUAAACGAUGCGCGUUAGGUGUAUCGGUGACCACGAGUCACCGAGGUGCCGAAGAGAAAUCGUGAAACGCGCCGCCUGGGAAGUACGGUCGCAAGGCUGAAACUUAAAGGAAUUGGCGGGGGAGCACCACAACGGGUGGAGCCUGCGGUUUAAUCGGACUCAACGCCGGGAAACUCACCGGACAAGACAGCUGAAUGAUAGUCGGGCUGAAGACUCUACUUGACUAGCUGAGAGGAGAUGCAUGGCCGUCGUCAGUUCGUACUGUGAAGCAUCCUGUUAAGUCAGGCAACGAGCGAGACCCA
RNAcentral lists this ribosomal RNA (1043 nucleotides) under uncultured archaeon. Its description in RNAcentral is "bacterial SSU rRNA". It matches the Rfam family "Archaeal small subunit ribosomal RNA", at positions 1 to 1054 of the family's 1478-position model. The record is from RNAcentral.